Molecule: ribosomal RNA, 202 nt
Filed under: uncultured bacterium
Lineage: Bacteria
Description: partial 16S ribosomal RNA
Rfam family: Bacterial small subunit ribosomal RNA
Source: RNAcentral
ACGCUCGACACCUACGGGAGGCAGCAGUGGGGAAUAUUGCACAAUGGGGGAAACCCUGAUGCAGCGACGCCGCGUGGAGGAAGAAGGUCUUCGGAUUGUAAACUCCUGUUGUUGGGGAAAAAGAGGAUGGUACCCAACAAGGAAGUGACGGCUAACUACGUGCCGGCAGCUGCGGUAAUCUGAGGCGGGCGUCGGCGAAGGC